Molecule: ribosomal RNA, 253 nt
Filed under: uncultured bacterium
Lineage: Bacteria
Description: partial 16S ribosomal RNA
Rfam family: Bacterial small subunit ribosomal RNA
Source: RNAcentral
GACGAACCGUGCGAACGUUGUUCGGAAUCACUGGGCUUAAAGGGCGCGUAGGCGGCUCUCUUGGUCGUGGGUGAAAUCCCCCAGCUUAACCGGGGAAGGGCUUACGAUACCGGGGGGCUCGAGGGAGGAAGGGGCGGUCGGAACUGUCGGUGGAGCGGUGAAAUGCGUUGAUAUCGACAGGAACGCCGGUGGCGAAAGCGGACCGCUGGCCCUCUUCUGACGCUGAGGCGCGAAAGCCAGGGGAGCGAACGGG